UUGGAGGGCAAGUCUGGUGCCAGCAGCCGCGGUAAUUCCAGCUCCAAUAGCGUAUAUUAAAGUUGCUGCAGUUAAAAAGCUCGUAGUUGAAUUUCGGGACCAUCAUGUCGGUCGUGCCUCGGUACGUACUGGUAUUGUUGGUUUCUCCCUUCUGACGAACCAUGAUGUCAUUUAUUUGGUGUUGUGGGGAAUCAGGACUGUUACUUUGAAAAAAUUAGAGUGUUUAAAGCAGGCUCACGCUUGAAUACAUUAGCAUGGAAUAAUGAAAUAGGACGUUUGAUUCUAUUUUGUUGGUUUCUAGGAUCGACGUAAUGAUUAAUAGGGAUAGUUGGGGGCAUUAGUAUUCAAUUGUCAGAGGUGAAAUUCUUGGAUUUAUUGAAGACUAACUACUGCGAAAGCAUUUGCCAAGGAUGUUUUCAUUAAUCAAGAACGAAAGUUAGGGGAUCGAAGACGAUCAGAUACCGUCGUAGUCUUAACCAUAAACUAUGCCGACUAGGGAUCGGAUGAUGUUAAUUUUUUAAUGACUCAUUCGGCGCCUUACGGG
This 544-nucleotide ribosomal RNA is filed under the name uncultured Glomeromycotina. RNAcentral describes it as "SSU rRNA". It matches the Rfam family "Eukaryotic small subunit ribosomal RNA", at positions 548 to 1094 of the family's 1831-position model. The record is from RNAcentral. Lineage: Eukaryota; Fungi; Glomeromycota.